CAGGGCGCUAAAGGUCCUCCUGGAACCACCGCCAUGAGUGAGUGCCAGAUGAUCACCUACAUCAAAGACAACUGUGCAUGUUGCCAAGGUAACUAUAUGUCUCCGUCAGUCACUCAGAACUUGGAGGUAAGUACAGUGCAGAAGUCCAGCGGUGAGAUUUAUCAUCAUCAUCAUCAAGAAAACAUCAAUUCACCUUUUAAACGUUUGUAGUUUCACUUUGC
Molecule: long non-coding RNA, 221 nt
Organism: Etheostoma cragini (Arkansas darter)
Lineage: Eukaryota; Metazoa; Chordata; Actinopteri; Perciformes; Percidae
Exons: 3
Source: RefSeq, a predicted model, not a curated record